UACGUAGGGGGCUAGCGUUGUCCGGAAUCAUUGGGCGUAAAGCGCGUGUAGGCGGCCCGGUAAGUCCGCUGUGAAAGUCGGGGGCUCAACCCUCGGAUGCCGGUGGAUACUGUCGGGCUCGAGUGCGGAAGAGGCGAGUGGAAUUCCUGGUGUAGCGGUGAAAUGCGCAGAUAUCAGGAGGAACACCGGUGGCGAAGGCGGAUCUCUGGGCCAUUACUGACGCUGAGGAGCGAAAGCGUGGGGAGCGAACAGG
Molecule: ribosomal RNA, 253 nt
Filed under: uncultured bacterium
Lineage: Bacteria
Description: partial 16S ribosomal RNA
Rfam family: Bacterial small subunit ribosomal RNA
Source: RNAcentral